UACGUAGGGUGCAAGCGUUAAUCGGAAUUACUGGGCGUAAAGCGUGCGCAGGCGGUUCGGUAAGAAAGAUGUGAAAUCCCAGAGCUUAACUUUGGAACUGCAUUUUUAACUACCGAGCUAGAGUGUGUCAGAGGGAGGUAGAAUUCCGCGUGUAGCAGUGAAAUGCGUAGAUAUGCGGAGGAACACCAGUGGCGAAGGCGACUUCCUGGGAUAACACUGACGCUCAUGCACGAAAGCGUGGGGAGCAAACAGG
RNAcentral lists this ribosomal RNA (253 nucleotides) under uncultured bacterium. Its description in RNAcentral is "partial 16S ribosomal RNA". It matches the Rfam family "Bacterial small subunit ribosomal RNA", at positions 524 to 776 of the family's 1533-position model. The record is from RNAcentral.